This is a long non-coding RNA of Podarcis raffonei (Aeolian wall lizard), 2004 nucleotides long. RefSeq lists it as uncharacterized. The record is from RefSeq and is a predicted model, not a curated record. NCBI's taxonomy places the organism in Eukaryota, Metazoa, Chordata, Lepidosauria, Squamata, Lacertidae. The transcript is spliced from 2 exons.
GUCUGCAAAGAAUGGGCCUGCGCUGUGAAUUUUCACUGCUUGUAGUACUCAUUUGUAUUCAAAGCGAGACACCCUACCUUGAAAUACUUGCUUGAGUUGCAAUUAAAAAUGAGACAUAUUUUGCCCUGCUGAUAAGCAUGUUUCCCCAUUCUUCAGACUAGGCUGCUGCUGGUGCAUACUCAGAACCUGAGUACUUAAACUUCUGUGGUUGCUUUCCUGGUAGCUGAAUUUUAGUUUAUGGGGGUCCACUAACAGUGAUUCCCACAAAGUCCACUGGGCAGUGAUAUGAGGGAUUAGGCGGUCCUUGAGGGAUCCUGGACCCCAAUUCUCAAGGCCUUGUAAGUUAAUAUAAGAACCUUGAAUCUGGCUGUGUGUGUUGGCAUCGCCAGGCAAGUAGAGCAGGUGUAACUCACAUUUUCUGGUUAUGCCCUAAAAUAAAAAUAUUUUGGAAAAAGGUGGUUAUCUUUCAGCCAGAGGGCCAGAUCCAGAAGUGGCCAGCCCUCUGUGGAUCACACUGGGCAGUCAAUUACCUGAGAUCAUAUGAUUUCACGCACAGGAAAGGUAAAGCUGCAGCUGUAAAGAAACAUUUGCAGAGUGUGCUGUUUGCACUUGGCAGCUUUCUCUGCUGUGCUAUUUUCAGGAGGGAUCAGAUCAAAAGGAUCAGGAGCUCCUGUAUCUGGUCCCUGCCAAAAGCAGCAUGGUGGGUUAAGGUGCCAGAUUCAAGAAGUGCCAAAGGUACAGCCGUGGAUGCAAAUGAACCAUCAGGAGUGCUCCUGACUACUCAGGACACAGAAAAAGAACAAGUGGAAGUUUGACAAAAGCAGUGGCCCAAGGUAAGUCGUCAAAUUCAAACAGUGCAAAAUUCUAGCUGCGGCUGAAUUCAUCAUUAUUUGCACAUGUAGCUUUAUCAGUCUUGCACCUGACAUCCUAUAGACAUCAGGUGUUGGUCAGGUGAGCGUGGCUUGGCCUACCACAGACAUCGAAGAAAUGAACGGUUAGAGGCUUCCAUUGGAUUUCUCGGUGAUCUUGUUUGGAAGUAUGAAAGAUAAAACCUUGAGGAACGACCAAGAUAUUAUUGUUUAUUAUCAGUUGCAACAACCAGUGUUAGUAAUAACUGGAAGAAAAAGGGAAACACAAAAAUGUUUCAAUGGUUACUAAGCACAUGGGUUAUAUUCAGCAUAAUAAAACACUGGUUUUGUUAUGAUAUGGAAGAACAUACUAAAUUUUUGAAGAACUGAAUUUCUCGUGUUCUGGAAAGUGAAACUUCAUGCUAGAAUGCCAAGCUUACGAGGUGUUGGGUGCAAUUUAAGUACAAUAAGAUGGGUGUUUGGGAUGAGAGAAUGAAUGCAUGAGGUAAGGUGAUGAACCAAUUAAUAAUAAUAAUAAUGAUAAUAAUAAUAAUACAUGCUGAAGUUUGUUAUUAGAUGCUGAAUUGUGUUAUAUGCUAGUUUUAAAGUUAGUUUAUUAGCCUGUCCCAUAUAUGGUGAUUUCUUAAGACACAGAGGUUGCCAUAUCAACUAUAUGAGCUCAUAAUCACCAGAUCCUAUAAGUAAAAGUGCAGCAGGUAGCAUCAUUUCACAAAUUCAAGUACCAUCUUUGGAGACAGAUUGUGCUGGCUUCGCGGAAUGACAUGCUCCUCUUGAUCCUCUACUAGACUUUUAACAUCACCAAAACCCCAGAAAAUGACGCGAUGUGGCUGCAGGCCUCCCUAUCGCAGAAGACGUAAAAGAGGGGGGUUGGCAGGUCAGAGAGGAGGAAGAAGGGGAAAGAAAGGGAGACGAGUGUCGGUAGCGCACACAGUGUACUACUACAGGAAAGUCAGAUAGAGCUCCGAAGCCCUUCCUUUCUAUCAUCCAGCAUUUCCAGAAAUGUCAGGCAACAUCACCAAGAUUUCUGCCUCAUGAAUGAACCACAGUUCCAGCAAAGCCAGGCCGACUGAUGUUCUGAGAUGCUGAUGCCCUCCAAAGAGGAGCAAUGUGUCAUUAAACCUGAAGCUGCAACAUC